GAUGAAGAACGCAGCGAAAUGCGAUAAGUAGUGUGAAUUGCAGAAUUCAGUGAAUCAUCGAAUCUUUGAACGCACAUUGCGCCCCUUGGUAUUCCAUGGGGCAUGCCUGUUCGAGCGUCAUUUGUACCCUUAAGCUUUGCUUGGUGUUGGGCGUCUUGUCGUAUUACGACUCGCCUUAAAUACAUUGGCAGCCGGCACUUUGGCCUAGGAGCGCAGCACAUUUUGCGAUCGUAGCCCGUUGUACUGGCGUCCAUCAAGAACAUUUACCACGUUUGACCUCGGAUCAGGUAGGGAUACCCGCUGAACUUAAGCAUAUCAAUAAGCGGAGGA
RNAcentral lists this unclassified non-coding RNA (330 nucleotides) under soil metagenome. Its description in RNAcentral is "partial contains 5.8S ribosomal RNA, internal transcribed spacer 2, and large subunit ribosomal RNA". The stretch from base 1 to 120 matches the Rfam family "5.8S ribosomal RNA", at positions 35 to 154 of the family's 154-position model. The record is from RNAcentral.